Molecule: ribosomal RNA, 465 nt
Filed under: uncultured bacterium
Lineage: Bacteria
Description: partial 16S ribosomal RNA
Rfam family: Bacterial small subunit ribosomal RNA
Source: RNAcentral
AGCGAACGCUGGCGGCAUGCCUAACACAUGCAAGUCGCACGGGUCGGCUUCGGCCGGUCAGUGGCGGACGGGUGCGGACCGCGUAGGGAUCUGUCCUCUGGUGGGGGAUAACCGCGGGAAACUGCGGCUAAGACCGCAUGGAGCGCCGGUGUGAGAGCCGGCUUCAAAGGCGCGCAUCGCGAGGUGUGUGUCGCCGGGGGGUGAGCCUGCGUCCGAUUAGCUGUUGGGCGGGGGAGUGGCCCACCAGGGCGUCGGUGGGUAGCUGGUCUGAGAGUGUGACCAGCCACGCUGGGAAUGAGACACGGCCCAGACUCCUACGGAAGGGAGCAGUGGGGAAUAUUGGACAAUGGGCGCAAGCGUGAUCAAGCCAUGCCGCGUGGGUGAAGAAGGUCUUCGGAUUGUAAAGCCCUUUCGGCGGGGACGAUGGUGACGGUACCCGGAGAAGAAGCCCCGGCUAACUUCGUG